CGCCAAUCCCCCUCUGGUGCAGUGACGAGUUUGUGGAGGUGGUCUGUGUUGGGUCCGUGGCUGAGCUGGAGGAGUUAACGGAAGUGAAAGCGACUGAUCUGCAACGUGAGAGGACCUGAGCCCUAGGACCAUGCCUCAGGACUACCUGGUAUGAUGACUCCUUGCUGUCCCCAGUCCACCUGGCCGUGCUGCUGCUCCAGUUUCAACUGUUCUGCCUGCGGCUAUGGAACCCUGACCUGUUCACCGGACGUGCUUGUUGCACCCUCGACAACUACUAUGAUUAUUAUUAUUUGACCAUGCUGGUCAUUUAUGAACAUUUUAACAUUUUAACAUUUU
RNAcentral lists this long non-coding RNA (336 nucleotides) under Salmo salar (Atlantic salmon). RNAcentral's name for it is "lncRNA (ENSSSAG00000114207.1)". The record is from RNAcentral. Lineage: Eukaryota; Metazoa; Chordata; Actinopteri; Salmoniformes; Salmonidae.